Molecule: ribosomal RNA, 403 nt
Filed under: uncultured beta proteobacterium
Lineage: Bacteria; Pseudomonadati; Pseudomonadota; Betaproteobacteria
Description: bacterial SSU rRNA
Rfam family: Bacterial small subunit ribosomal RNA
Source: RNAcentral
GAGUUUGAUCAUGGCUCAGAUUGAACGCUGGCGGAAUGCUUUACACAUGCAAGUCGAGCGGCAGCGCGGGGCAACCUGGCGGCGAGCGGCGAACGGGUGAGUAAUGCAUCGGAACAUGUCCAUGUCGUGGGGGAUAGCCCGGCGAAAGCCGGAUUAAUACCGCAUACGCCCGAGAGGGGAAAGCCGGGGACCGCAAGGCCUGGCGCGAUUGGGUUGGCCGAUGUCCGAUUAGCUAGUUGGCGGGGUAAGAGCCCACCAAGGCGAUGAUCGGUAGCUGGUCUGAGAGGAUGAUCAGCCACACUGGGACUGAGACACGGCCCAGACUCCUACGGGAGGCAGCAGUGGGGAAUUUUGGACAAUGGGGGAACCCUGAUCCAGCCAUUCCGCGUGAGUGAAGAAGGCC